GGGCCCGCACAAGCGGUGGAGCAUGUGGUUUAAUUCGAUGAUACGCGAGGAACCUUACCAGGGUUUAAAUGCAGAACGACAGGGGUGGAAACACCCCCUUCUUCGGACGGACUGCAAGGUGCUGCAUGGUUGUCGUCAGCUCGUGCUGUGAAGUGUCGGGUUAAGUCCCAUAACGAGCGCAACCCCCAUUUCUAGUUGCCAGCGGUUCGGCCGGGGACUCUAGAGAAACUGCCAGCGUAAGCUGUGAGGAAGGUGGGGAUGACGUCAAAUCAUCACGGCCCUUACAUCCUGGGCCACACACGUGCUACAAUGGUAGGGACAACAGGUUGCCAACCCGCGAGGGUGAGCCAAUCCCAAAACCGGUCUCAGUUCGGAUCGGGGUCUGCAACUCGGCCCCGUGAAGCUGGAAUC
Molecule: ribosomal RNA, 411 nt
Filed under: uncultured bacterium
Lineage: Bacteria
Description: bacterial SSU rRNA
Rfam family: Bacterial small subunit ribosomal RNA
Source: RNAcentral